UUAAAUUGAAGAGUUUGAUCAUGGCUCAGAUUGAACGCUGGCGGCAGGCCUAACACAUGCAAGUCGAACGGUAACAGGAAGCAGCUUGCUGCUUCGCUGACGAGUGGCGGACGGGUGAGUAAUGUCUGGGAAACUGCCUGAUGGAGGGGGAUAACUACUGGAAACGGUGGCUAAUACCGCAUAACGUCGCAAGACCAAAGAGGGGGACCUUCGGGCCUCUUGCCAUCAGAUGUGCCCAGAUGGGAUUAGCUUGUUGGUGAGGUAACGGCUCACCAAGGCGACGAUCCCUAGCUGGUCUGAGAGGAUGACCAGCCACACUGGAAC
RNAcentral lists this ribosomal RNA (324 nucleotides) under Salmonella enterica subsp. enterica serovar Muenster. RNAcentral's name for it is "bacterial SSU rRNA". It matches the Rfam family "Bacterial small subunit ribosomal RNA", at positions 1 to 319 of the family's 1533-position model. Lineage: Bacteria; Pseudomonadati; Pseudomonadota; Gammaproteobacteria; Enterobacterales; Enterobacteriaceae. The record is from RNAcentral.